RNAcentral lists this small RNA (406 nucleotides) under Pan troglodytes (chimpanzee). RNAcentral describes it as "retained intron". Lineage: Eukaryota; Metazoa; Chordata; Mammalia; Primates; Hominidae. The record is from RNAcentral.
CGCCUCCUCCUUGUUUCUUCCGCACCCCCGGGACUCCUUCCCCCAUCCCGGAUCCCUCCCUGUGUUCCCUCCCACUCACCCUCCCCAGCCUGAUGCCAGCCUGUCCCCCCAGAUCAUGAACAAGGGCAGGCUGUUGAAGGCGGGACGCCAGGUGCGAGAGCCCGGCCAGGACCUGGUGGUGCUGCCCCUGUCCAUCACCACCGACUUCAUCCCUUCCUUCCGCCUGGUGGCGUACUACACGCUGAUCGGCGCCAGCGGCCAGAGGGAGGUGGUGGCCGACUCCGUGUGGGUGGACGUCAAGGACUCCUGCGUGGGCUCGCUGGUGGUAAAAAGCGGCCAGUCAGAAGACAGGCAGCCUGUACCUGGGCAGCAGAUGACCCUGAAGAUAGAGGGUGACCACGGGGCC